AUUGAACGCUGGCGGCAGGCCUAACACAUGCAAGUCGAACGGUAACAGGAAACAGCUUGCUGUUUCGCUGACGAGUGGCGGACGGGUGAGUAAUGUCUGGGAAACUGCCUGAUGGAGGGGGAUAACUACUGGAAACGGUAGCUAAUACCGCAUAAUGUCGCAAGACCAAAGAGGGGGACCUUCGGGCCUCUUGCCAUCGGAUGUGCCCAGAUGGGAUUAGCUUGUUGGUGGGGUAACGGCUCACCAAGGCGACGAUCCCUAGCUGGUCUGAGAGGAUGACCAGCCACAGUGGAACUGAGGCACGGUCCAGACUCCUACGGGAGGCAGCAGUGGGGAAUAUUGGACAAUGGGCGCAAGCCUGAUGCAGCCAUGCCGCGUGUAUGAAGAAGGCCUUCGGGUUGUAAAGUACUUUCAGCGGGGAGGAAGGGAGUAAAGUUAAUACCUUUACUCAUUGACGUUACCCGCAGAAGAAGCACCGGCUAACUCCGUGCCAGCAGCCGCAGUAA
RNAcentral lists this ribosomal RNA (506 nucleotides) under uncultured bacterium. Its description in RNAcentral is "partial 16S ribosomal RNA". It matches the Rfam family "Bacterial small subunit ribosomal RNA", at positions 30 to 523 of the family's 1533-position model. The record is from RNAcentral.